RNAcentral lists this ribosomal RNA (256 nucleotides) under uncultured bacterium. RNAcentral's name for it is "partial 16S ribosomal RNA". It matches the Rfam family "Bacterial small subunit ribosomal RNA", at positions 524 to 776 of the family's 1533-position model. The record is from RNAcentral.
GACAGAGGUGCCAAGCGUUAGGCGGAAUCACUGGGCUUAAAGCGUGUGUAGGUGGAUGUCUAAGUACCUUGUGAAAUCCCAACGGCUCAACCGUAGGAACUUGCUCGGUAUACUGGAUGUCUUGAGCCACUUAGGGGCUACCGGAACAAAUGGUGGAGCGGUGAAAUGCGUAGAUAUCAUUUGGAACGCCAAUGGUGAAAACAGGUAGCUGGGAGUGUGCUGACACUGAGACACGAAAGCCAGGGGAGCGAACGGG